Molecule: long non-coding RNA, 177 nt
Organism: Quercus robur (English oak)
Lineage: Eukaryota; Viridiplantae; Streptophyta; Magnoliopsida; Fagales; Fagaceae
Exons: 2
Source: RefSeq, a predicted model, not a curated record
UCCCAGUCAUAGUUUUGAGGCCACAAAAUGCUACAAACAACGUGAACAGCUCCUCCAGUUAAUAUAGAGACAAUGUUUCCAGCAAGCAUUGGUGCAUUUCGACCAGUUGUGUCAAGAUUUACCCGGCCAUACUCAAUGCUUGUAACUGACAACCAAGUGAUUAUUCCAAGAACACAA